Molecule: ribosomal RNA, 158 nt
Filed under: uncultured eukaryote
Lineage: Eukaryota
Description: partial 18S ribosomal RNA
Rfam family: Eukaryotic small subunit ribosomal RNA
Source: RNAcentral
UGGUGGAGUGAUUUGUCUGGUUAAUUCCGAUAACGAACGAGACUCUAUCCUGCUAAAUAGUUCAGAUGCAUGAGUCGCUUCGGUGGCUACAGCUUCUUUCUGCAAACUUCUUAGAGGAAUUCGCGGAACUAUAAACCGCACGAAAGAGAGCAAUAACA